GAAACUUACAAAUACUCCGAAAGCAGGUGAGGUGGUGAAUGGUGGAGUGGUGAGAGGCUUGAGAGAGAGAUUGUAUGGAAGAAAGUUGUUGAUGAAAAUUAUGCGUGGUGAGAUUAAACGUCGAUAAGUCAAAUCAACGCAAACAUACGAUCUCAUAAGAUUAACACUUCCAACUUUACCCAGAAAGCUCCUAUAAAUAAUUCGAAAGAACGUUAAGGUGUGCGUGGGAAAUAGUGGAAGGGAGUACAUUUGUAAUUAUAAGACGUGUUGAAGAAAUGAAUGGUGCAGUGAUUGGAGGCGUGAGAUGGCGAGAUUGUAUGGAAGGUUAGUUAAAUAGAUUCCUGGCGAGAUUAAUAACGUAAAGGUGUGCGUGGGAAAUAGUGAAAGGGAGAACAUUUGUGAUUAUAAGAAGUGUUGAAGAAAUAAAUGGUGCAGUGAUUGGAGGCGUGAGAGGGCGAGAUUGGGUUAGUUAAAUAAAUUCCUGUUGAGAUUAAUAAGGAAAUAGUGAAGCGACGUGAGAAAUAAUGACAGUGAGUAAAGACAUGAUCAGAGAAGUGUUGAAUAAAACGAUGCCUGGUGCGAGAAAGAAAUAGAAAGAAUAAAGAGUCUGCUCGGAACAGUUUAUGUAAGAGAUUAUGUUUACUGUUGGUGUUUAACUAAUAUCGUAUAGAAGAACCUGAAAGAAAUGGACGUUUAAUUGGAUCUAAAUAUAUAAAAACUUUGAUGUUACGAGACUGAGUGACAACGAGAUCUUACUUAUCACAUAAAAGAACAUGAAAUAAAAGCGACGUUGAAAUAGAUAUCAAUACGAAAAAAAGUGAUGUUACGCAAUUUGAAUAGAUAAAUACGUAAAUAAAUGAAUAAAUAAGGUUACAGAACAACGCCCAUAGAACUUAAAAAGAAGAAAAACAAGAGAACAGCGGGAAAUUUAAUUAUAUCAGAAACUAAACGAGAGAGAGAGAGAGAGAGAGAGAGAGAGAGAGAGAGAGAGAGAGAGAGAGAGAGAGAGAGAGAGAACAAAUAAUCGCUAUGGUACUCCCUCGCUUUAGCCUAGUCUGAUGUCAGUGUCGUGGUCGCAGAGUUUCGAACCCUGUGUCUAUAUGUUGUGAAGGACCAAUAGAAACAGACAGACCAAGAACCAUCCACACACCACACCAAAACAAACAACCAGACUACCAAACCAACCUAGGAACCCAAAUCAUACCCGUACCAAACAAAAUAUACCAAACCAAACCAAAAUUAAACUAGACAUAACAAUUCAAACGACUUCAAACUACAGAGACACACCACACCAAACCACAAACAACCAUACUAACCAAGGCAACCACACUAAACAAGCCAUACCAAGCCAUACCAAACUACAGAUAAGCCUUACCAAACUACAUCAAAUUAUAGGGAAACCUUACCAAACCACGCUAGACUAUAGAAAGGUCAUACCACAUACACCAAGCUAUAAAGUAACCAUAUCUCAAACCAUACCAGACUACAGAUAAGCCUUACCAGACCACAUCAAACUAUAGGCAAAAUUAACUACACCAGUCCAUUCUAAACCCCACCAAUCCAUUAUAAACCACAUCAAUCCAUUACAAACCAAACCAGUCCAUUCUAAACCCCACCAAUCCAUUACAAACCAAACCAGUCCAUUCCAAACCAUACCAAUCCAUUUCAAGCCAUACCAAUCCAUUCCAAUCCACACCAAAUCACACCAGACCGCACCCAAAACACGCUAAAUCAUACCAAAGCAUACCAAAAACAAUACUUGAAACAAAAUACUGGAUACGAACAGAAUAUUGACAUUAAACAGUGCUGGGGACGAGCACAGUAUCAGAAACAUAAAAUUAGAUACAAACGCACUACUUGAAACGAACAGUACUAAAAACAGAGAUAUGGGAACAAACCAUUUUUCAACCAAACCUACCAAACGACACACACCCAAACUAACUCAGACCAACUUUUCAAACACCCAACCAUUCAAGCAAAGUGACCCUAACCAAGGCUAUACUACUUAGUGCCGCGAGCUGAUGUUAAUAAUAGUUGCUCGAUAUAUAUGAAGACUCGACGUGUUACACAGAGAUAUAAAGACAGAGAUAUACUAACAAAAAGAGCAGAUUAUAGAUAUAUUUUUGGGACUCGUUUAAACAUGUUUCCAGUUUGUUGUUGUUAUUGUCAUUCUAUAUAUCGUUAUUAUUAUCAUUAUUAUUAUUAUUACUAUUAUCCCAAACGCUUGUCACAGCUGCAGAAUGUAAUAAACGCAUAUAUAUACCAA
Molecule: long non-coding RNA, 2266 nt
Organism: Eriocheir sinensis (Chinese mitten crab)
Lineage: Eukaryota; Metazoa; Arthropoda; Malacostraca; Decapoda; Varunidae
Exons: 3
Source: RefSeq, a predicted model, not a curated record